GAUGGAUGCAGUUAGACUGUGCCAGCUGGCCUAGAAUAGAAAUGUGGUGUGGUUUGGGUUGGAAGGGGCCUUAUAGACCCUCCCAGCCCAGUUCCAGCCCCCUCCCAUGGGCAGAAACAAAUUCCACUAUCCCAGGUUGCUCCAAGUCCCAUCCAACCUUAUCUUAAACACUUCCAGGGUUGGAGCAGCCACAGCUUCUCUGGGCAACAUCUGUGAGGGCCUCACCACUCUCACAGGGAAGAAUUUAUUUCUAAUAUCCAAUUCAAAUCUCCCUCUUGCAGCUUAAGGACAUUCCUUUGUCCUGUUACUCCAUGUACUUGCUAAAAGUCCCUCUCUUGCUCUUGGAGACUUUCUAGUCUGGAAUUCCUUGGAAGGCUGCUAAGGAAGCCAAGAGGCCAAGAAAUUGUAGCAGCAUGGGUCAGCAAAGAUGCAGCAUUUGUGCUUUUUAUGCCCUUUCUGCAACUCUUUCCUGUUGUUGCCUCCAGUGACAUGCAAUGAUGAUAAUGGGAUCCAGUGCCACUGGCAUGCUACCCCAAAGCCCUGCAAGGACUAGUUCAGAGUCUGCAUAAAAACAAAGUGGGCCAACGCAAACAUCAUCUGAAGACUGCCAAGAUUACAAACUACCUCAUUUUUUUUUACCAGGAAGACCAUAAAAAACCAAUAAAGCACAGUGAUAUACACUUUUUAUAAUGCAGAGCUUUGUAGCAAAUGCAGCCCAGCUGACAAAGUCUUUACAGAUGGGAGAUUAGUGAUAAGAAUGUCCAUUCCUUUUAGUAGAAAUGUUGUGUAAUAAUCAGAUUCCCUACUUUAGACAUUUACAAAGGCUGUUCAGGUAGCCUAUGAACACAGACUCAAUGAAAGAAAGGAUGUGCUCUCUCUGAAGAGCAAGCCACAGCCCCUGAGUGAGCUCUGUAUGGUUUUCUGCACUGACUCUACUGGGAUGAUAGAAACUUCAGUGAUCACAGAAUCACAGAAUGGUUUGGGUUGGAAGAGACCUUAAAGCUCAUCCAGUUCCACCCCUACCAUAGGCAGGGACACAUUCCACUAUCCCAGGUUGCUCCAAGCCCCAUCCAGCCUGGCUUGGACACUUCCAGGGAUAGUAACCCUUUUCCUUACUUGAGCCAAGAACCAGCUAGACCUGGUUGAGAGCCAGCAUGAGGGAUCAGAGCAUGCCUAAAAGGGACAUUGCUCUUGAUCUGGGAGCCUCAGCUGUGUACAGCUGGGAAGAAGUUCUUAUUUGUUCCAAAACCCUGAAUCUACACCUUUUCCCCUUUAGUCUCUGUCUCAAAUGAAAACUAGACUUCCUUUGCACAGGGAAUUGAAGGGUUUGACUCCUUCAUUUCCCUCUUUCUGAUAUUCUU
Passer domesticus (house sparrow) is the source of this 1361-nucleotide long non-coding RNA. RefSeq lists it as uncharacterized. NCBI's taxonomy places the organism in Eukaryota, Metazoa, Chordata, Aves, Passeriformes, Passeridae. The record is from RefSeq and is a predicted model, not a curated record. The transcript has 3 exons.